CGUUAUGGUGGCUGCGUGCGGGACGCCCUCGGGCGUGCCGGGUCGUUCCUAUGCCGGUCUUCCACCCCUCACGCAGCUGCCACCCUA
This 87-nucleotide non-coding RNA is filed under the name Pseudomonas sp. M47T1. The record is from RNAcentral. Lineage: Bacteria; Pseudomonadati; Pseudomonadota; Gammaproteobacteria; Pseudomonadales; Pseudomonadaceae.